CGAACCUACAGCCAGGUCUCAGCCUCGGCAUGAGGCUCGUCAGCCGACUUGAGUCAUCCCCAGGGACUUCUGAUACUAGUUUAGGCGGAAGCACCGCUAAAAGUACAAUGCACUUUGAAUAAGCGUUAGCUGUUUGCUAACUGGAUAACAAGUGAGUGCUGUGCUGAGAUCAGUCCCAGUCUUCAGAGUAAGGUAGAGUGCUCACUCGCUAUAGGCUCAUGUGUUUGUGUUGAGGCCUUGGGCAGGCUGCAAUGUGUGAGAGAUCCACUGUUUCCACUCUACUGUGAUGGAAGAAGAAAUGUGUCUCUUACCUGGAGUAGAUACAGAUGAUGAAGAGAGGGAGAGGCAGAUACAUGGGGAAGGAAAGAAGGAAGAAUUUGGUUAAGAGAGCAGCAACACGUCCCAGAGCACAUGGACAAAACAAACAUGAGAUCACACUUACCUGAGAAAGAAAAGAGACAUGGACAGAAAGUGUUGUGAGAGAGCAGAGAAGGCUGCCACACAGAGGCAGGUAGACCUAACCCUAAGUGUUGCACUACCACCCUGAUAGUUUUGCUAACAGUUUUAGUAAAUGCAAAUGCUUCCCACAAUUACAUUUCUUUGCCAUUGAUAAGAAAAUGGUGCUUAUGGCACAGCCAUUGAACCUACAAGUAAGCUAACUGAAGUAGCUUGUCCUAGUCUGCUAAACUUUUACACUCUAAACUUUUUUUAAACACUUUGCAAAACACAGUUCUCUUCAUUAGACAUAUGCAAAUGUCACAUCACAACCCUCAGUCCUCAUGGGUGCAAAUACUUAUGGCCAUUUUGUUGAGCUAGUAUAAAUUAAGUUAAAGUUGACUGGUUUAGCAGACUUUGAAAUCCAAAGCAACACAGACUGGCCCAGGCACACUGAUUGUCAUAUGAUGACAUUACUGCUGCUCCACCAUGCCCACAAAAUGAAUAAGCCACAGGUUAGAUACUGGACAACAAUGGAGACCCAUAGUGGAGAGAAAGGAAAAAUAACCCUCACCAAUGGGAUCUGGGCCACUGUAGCAAGUAUGAUCCAGACAUUUUGAAAUGAGAAAAGGUAAAUGGACCCAUCUUUUCUGUACCAUGCUACUAAAACACAGUGCUGCACGGUGUA
Long non-coding RNA from Alosa sapidissima (American shad), 1123 nucleotides. RefSeq lists it as uncharacterized. The record is from RefSeq and is a predicted model, not a curated record. Lineage: Eukaryota; Metazoa; Chordata; Actinopteri; Clupeiformes; Clupeidae. The transcript is spliced from 3 exons.